This 22-nucleotide small nuclear RNA is filed under the name Arabidopsis thaliana (thale cress). RNAcentral describes it as "snRNA_03715". The record is from RNAcentral. Lineage: Eukaryota; Viridiplantae; Streptophyta; Magnoliopsida; Brassicales; Brassicaceae.
GUGGCUAACUCCUUGAGCCCUC